GCGAGUCAUUGUAGCAUACAAGGCGGACGGCUCAGUAACACGUAGUCAACCUAACUCGUGGACGUGGAUAACCUCGGGAAACUGAGAAUAAACCACGAUAGAUCAUAGUGCCUGGAAUGGCUUAUGGUCCAAACAGUUUACUGCCAUGGGAUGGGACUGCGGCCUAUCAGCUUGUUGGUGAGGUAAUGGCCCACCAAGGCGAUUACAGGUACGGGCUCUGAGAGGAGAAGCCCGGAGAUGGGUACUGAGACACGGACCCAGGCCCUAUGGGGCGCAGCAGGCGAGAAACCUUAGCAAUGUGCGAAAGCACGACUGGGUCAGUCCGAGUGAUUCCUGAUAAAGGAGUCUUUUGCUUGUCCUAAAAGCACAGGUGAAUAAGGGGUGGGCAAGUCUGGUGUCAGCCGCCGCGGUAAUACCAGCACCUCGAGUGGUCAGGACGUUUAUUGGGCCUAAAGCAUCCGUAGCCGGCUCUGCAAGUCUUCGGUUAAAUCCACCUGCUCAACAGAUGGGCUGCUGGAGAUACUACAGAGCUAGGGAGUGGGAGAGGCAGACGGUAUUCAGUGGGUAGGGGUAAAAUCCUCUGAUCCAUUGAGGACCACCAGUGGCGAAGGCGGUCUGCCAGAACACGUUCGACGGUGAGGGAUGAAAGCUGGGGGAGCAAACCGGAUUAGAUACCCGGGUAGUCCCAGCUGUAAACGAUGCAAACUCGGUGAUGCAUUGGCUUAUGGCCAAUGCAGUGCC
Molecule: ribosomal RNA, 741 nt
Filed under: uncultured archaeon
Lineage: Archaea
Description: bacterial SSU rRNA
Rfam family: Archaeal small subunit ribosomal RNA
Source: RNAcentral